GAUGAACGCUAGCUACAGGCUUAACACAUGCAAGUCGAGGGGAAACGACAUCGAAAGCUUGCUUUUGAUGGGCGUCGACCGGCGCACGGGGGAGUAACGCGUAUCCAACCUGCCCACCACUUGGGGAUAACCUUGCGAAAGUAAGACUAAUACCCAAUGACGUCUCUAGAAGACAUCCGAAAGCGAUUAAAGAUUUAUCGGUGGUGGAUGGGGAUGCGUCUGAUUAGCUUGUUGGCGGGGUAACGGCCCACCAAGGCGACGAUCAGUAGGGGGUCUGAGAGGAAGGUCCCCCACAUUGGAACUGAGACACGGUCCAAACUCCUACGGGAGGCAGCAGUGAGGAAUAUUGGUCAAUGGGCGAGAGCCUGAACCAGCCAAGUAGCGUGCAGGAUGACGGCCCUAUGGGUUGUAAACUGCUUUUAUAAGGGAAUAAAGUGAGUCUCGUGAGACUUUUUGCAUGUACCUUAUGAAUAAGGACCGGCUAAUUCCGUGCCAGCCGCCGCAGUAA
This 508-nucleotide ribosomal RNA is filed under the name uncultured bacterium. Its description in RNAcentral is "partial 16S ribosomal RNA". It matches the Rfam family "Bacterial small subunit ribosomal RNA", at positions 28 to 523 of the family's 1533-position model. The record is from RNAcentral.